Molecule: ribosomal RNA, 253 nt
Filed under: uncultured bacterium
Lineage: Bacteria
Description: partial 16S ribosomal RNA
Rfam family: Bacterial small subunit ribosomal RNA
Source: RNAcentral
UACGUAGGUGGCAAGCGUUGUCCGGAUUUAUUGGGUUUAAAGGGUGCGUAGGCGGCCCUGUAAGUCAGUGCUGAAAUAUCCCAGCUUAACUGGGAGGGUGGCAUUGAUACUGCGGGGCUAGAGUACAGAUGAGGUAGGCGGAAUUGACGGUGUAGCGGUGAAAUGCUUAGAUAUCGUCAAGAACACCUAUAGCGAAGGCAGCUUACUAGGCUGUAACUGACGCUGAGGCGCGAAGGCGUGGGGAGCGAACGGG